CCUACGGGAGGCAGCAGUGGGGAAUAUUGGACAAUGGGGGAAACCCUGAUCCAGCGACGCCGCGUGAGUGAAGAAGUAUUUCGGUACGUAAAGCUCUAUCAGCAGGAAAGAAAAUGACGGUACCUGACUAAGAAGCCCCGGCUAACUACGUGCCAGCAGCCGCGGUAAUACGGAGGGGGCAAGCGUUAUCCGGAUUUACUGGGUGUAAAGGGAGCGUAGACGGCAGCGCAAGUCUGGAGUGAAAUGCCGGGGGCCAACCCCGGAACUGCUCUGGAAACUGUGACGCUGGAGUGCAGGAGAGGUAAGCGGAAUUCGUGGUGUAGCGGUGAAAUGCGUAGAUAUCAGGAGGAACACCGGCGGCGAAGGCGGCUUACUGGACUGUAACUGACGUUGAGGCUCGAAGGCGUGGGGAGCAAACAGGAUUAGAUACCCGGGUAGUC
RNAcentral lists this ribosomal RNA (440 nucleotides) under uncultured bacterium. RNAcentral describes it as "partial 16S ribosomal RNA". It matches the Rfam family "Bacterial small subunit ribosomal RNA", at positions 338 to 795 of the family's 1533-position model. The record is from RNAcentral.